GACGAACGCUGGCGGCGUGCUUAACACAUGCAAGUCGAACGGAAAGGCCCUGCUUUUGUGGGGUGCUCGAGUGGCGAACGGGUGAGUAACACGUGAGUAACCUGCCCUUGACUUUGGGAUAACUUCAGGAAACUGGGGCUAAUACCGGAUAGGAGCUCCUGCUGCAUGGUGGGGUUUGGAAAGUUUCGGCGGUUGGGGAUGGACUCGCCGCUUAUCAGCUUGUUGGUGGGGUAGUGGCUUACCAAGGGUUUGACGGGUAGCCGGCCUGAGAGGGUGACCGGCCACAUUGGGACUGAGAGACGGACCAGACUGCUACGGUAGGCAGUAGGGGGGAAUAUGGCACAAUGGGGGGAAGCGUGAUGCAGAAAUGCUGCGAGCGGGAUGACGGCCUUCGUGUUGUAAACCGCUGUCGCCUGUGACGAAGCUUGAUUGACGGUAAUGGGUAAAGAAGCACCGGCUAACUACGUG
RNAcentral lists this ribosomal RNA (468 nucleotides) under uncultured bacterium. RNAcentral's name for it is "partial 16S ribosomal RNA". It matches the Rfam family "Bacterial small subunit ribosomal RNA", at positions 28 to 507 of the family's 1533-position model. The record is from RNAcentral.